RNAcentral lists this long non-coding RNA (1199 nucleotides) under Carica papaya (papaya). RNAcentral describes it as "long non-coding RNA (CPAP_LNC013585)". The record is from RNAcentral. Lineage: Eukaryota; Viridiplantae; Streptophyta; Magnoliopsida; Brassicales; Caricaceae.
AGUAUCACUUUUGACCGUGCAAGGAAAAGUGAAGCAAGCAAAAUACCCAUGCUCGCUCUAGUCCACGAGAGGACUUGAUUCCUCUCGUGUCUCUUCUUAUCUCUGGUUCGUCGUCAUCCUUUUUACCUUCAACACUUUCCUUCUAAACAGUAAUUUCCAUUAUUGUCCUACCUAAAUCCUCUUACACCAACCACAUGCCAAUUAUAUUCCCCAUUUCUAUUUUAAUUGUUUUGGAUGCGUGUUUGUUCUCAUCUGUUUAAAAUAUAUAUGUAUUAUGAUGUAUAUAAGCAGAAUUGAGACUGCAAAUAAUCAAGUCUGCCUUUGAGGUCUCUGCAAUUUUUCUGGGUUUGUUUCGUUUGGGAUUUUGAGUCGACUUUAUGGCGGUGAAUUUGUUGUCUCCAGCAGAAAUCAAGGCUGUUUCUUUCUUGGAUACUACAAGGUCCACUCAACUAUACAAACUCCCAGGUGUUUAUUUCUAACUGUACUUCACUUUUUUCUAUUUCUUUUUGUUUGGUUCCUGAGAAAAAAGAAGUAGGAAAGGUUUGGAAAAGGAAGCCUGCUUUUUGGCUACCGUCUUUUGGAUAUAACGAGGAAAUUAAGUUCGAUGUGGAGGUGAAUUCCCGUCACCCUGCCUGUUAGAGCGGAGAUUUUUCAUUUCGAAGCUUCAAGUUGUGGAGUAAAUGAAUGCUAGUCUUUUUCUUUUCCCUUCCGCUUUUUAUGUUUUCUCUGUUUGAAUUCUCAAUGUUUUUUGGUUUUUACCUUUCAAAUUACAAUUGAUAACUGAUGAAAUUUGGUGUCAUUUGCUGGUUUCUCCACGACAUAUAUGGCUUGCCUGUUGUUCCAACUCUUAAUUGUUUGAUGGUCCUAAGUAAUGUAUUUCGAUUUGCUUUUCAAUUGGCUGAAUUUUGAACAGCCACUUUUUGUACUGCAUGCGGCUUUCUAGUUCCUAAAGACCUAGCAAAAAAAAAAUCAUGAAGUUUUGGGUUGUUUUGCAGUAAGAUUGAUGCGACUAUUGCUAUUGCAAGUUUUCUUUCGAUAUGUUGGAAACCUGAGCUUACCCAUAUUUCUGGUUAACUAUAAAAUUGGGCUUUUGAAAUUGUCUGGUAUGUGAAUGUUUAAGAGGGUUUUCCUUGAAAAAGCGGGAUUGUGGAACGUUAUUUGGAAGAAGAAAUCAUUGUUCAGUGCAUCAACCUCCUCCA